AGAGCCAAGUUCCUAUCCUUGAUAGAGAACCAAUGUACAAUUGGUAUCUACAGCGAUAUCCGGGCCAGUUCCCCGCCACCUCGAGUUGAAACAACGGGCAUGUCUGGUUCGAAGAAGAUUGAAGAUCAGUGACUCCCAGGAUAAACAUUGACAAUACGAAUGACUGAGUGAUUAUGUUUUUUUUAUUAUUAUUAUUGAAAUGGAGAAUAAUUUUAUUUUCCUCUCU
Glycine soja is the source of this 226-nucleotide long non-coding RNA. RefSeq lists it as uncharacterized. Lineage: Eukaryota; Viridiplantae; Streptophyta; Magnoliopsida; Fabales; Fabaceae. The record is from RefSeq and is a predicted model, not a curated record. The transcript is spliced from 2 exons.